UGCAGAAUAAUUACUUUUGAUUGCAUAAACAUUUUCAAUAAUUUUUCACUAAGUAUUAAAACUGGCAUUUUAUCCACAAUAGUAAGGACACACUCAGUGGGUCAAACAUACAUUUGAAACUCCGACAGAAAACCAAAAGCAAACAAAAGAAAGUGAAAAAUCCAAGCAGCUCUCUUGUCAACAUCGUCUUGUCCGCCACAACCUGGAGAAAAUUUGGCACUCUUGUCAUUUUUAGUAUGUUCUACAAAUAUUAUAAUAUUUGUUAAGUUUAAACUUCUCUAUUUUAUGAUAUAUAAAUAUAACUGUAAAAAAAUAUAGUAUUAUGAUAUGUCUAGAAUAUUAAGUUGUAAGUGUACUUAUAUGCCAAGAGUUUUAUUUCGUGUGCUUUGGUUUAACAUGAGAACAUGAAUUUUAAGAAAACUGACUCGAUAAUUGAGCAAACUAAUUCAUAAAAAAAGUAAUGAAAUAUUUGUUUAUAACAAAUUUUAAAUAUGUUGAAAAUAAAUUAACCAUGAAUAAAAUAUGAAAAAACGAGAAUAUUAUUGAUAAAAAUAAUAUGGUUACAAUUUAUGAAUUUACAGAAUAUUCGAGAUACUUUUUAAGGUAAUAUAAUACCAAAAAUCAUAAUUGAAAUCGAAUACAUUUGUAGAAUCCUGAUUAGAUGAACAAAUUCUCAAUACACAUAAUUUUAUAAAAUCCAAGAGCGUAUCAUACAGAAUUGAUAUCUCCGAGCAGAGAAGGGAAGAAAACUCCUGCUACGGUUAAGUUUCAACACUGUGAAAGUAACGAACAGUUGGGUAGUUAGCCAGCCAUAUACCAGAUUCUUAUAUUCUUUCAUUAAAUCCCCACACAUAUAUUAUUUUUUAUUAAAAUCCAACUGUUCAAACUUACUAUCAAUUACUACUUUUUAGUGUUAAAAGUUAAGAUCUUCACACACUCUGUUUCAACCUCACCAUUUAUUGUCCCCCUUUUUUUCUCCGUCACACAAUUGAAUUGAUCUCACUGUUACCCAAAAUGUCGGUCACCGUUAGCUCGCCGGCCGUCCGAUCCUUCCAUGUUUCACGAUCACCUCAUAAAACGAUCUAUAGGCCACGUGUCAUUAUGUCUGCCGUCCGAUCUAGUGAUAGCUUAGGAGUAGCACCAAUUUUGACUAAGUUGCAGAAAGACUGUGCUACUCCUCUCCCAGUUUUGCGCCACGUGGCGGAUGCAAUGGCCGAUGAUAUGCGGGCCGGGCUUGCCGUCGAUGGCGGCAGUGAUCUGAAGAUGAUCCUUAGUUAUGUCGACACUCUACCAACUGGGUAAGCUACUAAUUCUUUUAUUUUAUUUUUUUGGUUCAGUUGCUUAUGGAAGGUGAUAUUUUUUGUUUCUAUUAUAAAUUACCCGUUUCGAAGAAUUAACCUGAAUAGUAAUAUUUGUAUUCUGUGCAUACUGGCUAGAAAAAAUAAACAAGUUGGUUAGCCAACUAAUUGGGUAAAGAUCCCAUUAUUUUUACCUAUUUUAAGCUAUUGUUACUUUUUGGUAUUGGGUGUACUUCACAAGUUUAAUUUGAUGGGCAUAAUCAUAAGGAGUUACAUGGUUUAAAGACUUGCCAUGAAAUAUGUUUGUCAUCUCGUCUAAAAGCUGAAAGUUGAAUAAUUGUAUUAUGUUUGAACACGCGGUCACAUGUGAGCUUGAUUUUUGUUCAUGGGACGAACACAUUGAAAUUAUUUUUUUCUUUUAUGGACAGCGAUGAUAUUUGAAUCAAUAAUCUCUGUUUGCUUUGAUACCAUACUGAUGUAUGUGACUAUCUGGUCUAAAAGUUUGAGCAUGUUUUAGUGUCUUGAUUAUAUAUUACUCCCUUCGUUUCAUUUAUAUGUCUCUAAUAUUUCCAAGUAUACUUUCUAUUUGUUCACUUGUUUGAUUGUUGAGCUUGUUCUUAUAUAUGCUACAAUAUUUUAAUGAUUAAUGAAGGAAUGAGAAAGGCUUGUUUUAUGCGUUGGACCUUGGUGGUACAAAUUUCCGAGUGCUAAGGGUGCAGCUAGGUGGUAAAGAAGAGCGUGUAGUCGCCACUGAGUUUGAGCAAGUCUCUAUACCCCCAGAAUUGAUGUUUGCUACCUCCGAGGUUGUUUAGUUUUUCUUGUUAUAAUGGGACUUGACCAAUACUAUCUUUUUUGUUGUUGUUGUAUUCAUCUUUGCAUCGGUUAUUGUAGGAGCUGUUCGAUUUCAUAGCUUCUGCGCUAGGAAAAUUUGCACAAAAGGAAGGUGGUAAUUUUGAGUUGCAACAGGGACGGACAAGGGAAAUAGGAUUCACGUUUUCUUUUCCAGUGAAACAGACUUCAAUAAGAACUGGAAUCCUAAUCAAAUGGACAAAAGGUUUUGCUGUCUCUGGAACUGUUAGUAUUUCUUGACUCUCUUAUUUGUGUAAAGGAGUGGCAGAUGUUAGACAUCUUACUAAUUUAGCCUAUGACUGGUUCUGGAACCAUACAUUGCUAAGAUGGCCAAUCAAUUCUGCGUUAUUGUAGUUUCAGUAAAGAUGGUCAAUUUCCCUCAAACUACUAAAACUUCCAACGAAUGUUUUUACCUUUUUCUGAAACAAGCACCGGAAUCAUCUAUUUGGUAAAAUCCUGUAAUUCCAUCCCCAAUUGAUUGUGCAUGUGAGAUUUUCUGUUUUCUGGACAACAGAGUGUUUCAUAUAGUGAGUCCAUUUUUUCCAGAUACAACAAUUUUUUUUUUAGAGUACUGGUUACUGUAUGAUGACUGAUUAGUAAGUUGUGUAAUUAGAGGGAUCAUUUCAUCGCUUUGAUCUUACAAGUUGAAUCAGAAAAUACUGGAUUCCAAACUAGUAGAGAAGAGUUCCUUAACAUUGAUUUUUAACUUUGUCUCUCUUAUCAUUAUCAUUUUCAUUUUACCUGUCGAUUACUUUUUGAUUCCAUCAUAACAUGGAACAGGCAGGAAAAGAUGUUGUUGCUUGUUUAAAUGAAGCCAUGGAGAGGCGGGGAAUGGAUAUGCAAGUGUCUGCCCUGGUAGGUUCUUGCUCAACUUCAUGUAUAUUGUAGAAAUGUUGGAGAAUAGUCUGGCGCUUCCUUAGUUCAAUCGUUUCAUGAUUUCAUUGUCAAGUUAGGUCAAUGACACUGUGGGAACACUUGCCGGAGCAAGAUACUGGGAUGAUGAUGCCAUGGUUGCUGUCAUUCUUGGGACUGGAACCAAUGCUUGCUAUGUAGAACGUGUGGAUGCUAUUCCUAAGCUGACAAAAAGGAUGUCCAAGUCUCCAAUAACGGUAAGUAGAGCCCAAAUCUCCUUCGUCAAGUUAUUUCAUGAGCAGAUUUUAGCAACCAUUGAGUUCGAUACAUCAUUAUAUUUUAGAUUGUGAAUACUGAAUGGGGAGCUUUCUCAAAUGGCCUUCCUUUAACUGAGUUUGAUAGAGAAAUGGAUGCCGAGAGCAUUAACCCUGGUGAGCAGGCAAGUAUUAUUGACUCAAAAUGUGAAAAUUUCUUUUCUUCGUAUACUUGGUAUCACACUGUUUCUUCAUGGUCUUUUCUACUGUCUUAUUUCUUGAUGAAGAUUUUUGAAAAGACCAUCUCCGGUAUGUACCUUGGGGAAAUUGUGAGACGGGUGCUGGUCAAAAUGUCCAAGGUUGGGGGCUUAUUUGGUGGCAGCUAUGUUCCGGAAAAGUUAGUCACUCCAUUUGUGCUGAGGUAAUUACAUUUGUUAUAUCAGAAGUUUAUGAUGCAAAUGUUUUCGGAGAAGUAUUAGUUUUGUAUUAAUUAGUCUCGUACUCUUCUUGUUUUUACUCACUCUGUCUGAUCUGCAUCAUAUAGGACACCUGAUAUAUGUGCCAUGCAGCAGGAUACAUCAAGAGAUCUUGAAGCUGUUGAAUCUGUCCUCUAUGAUGUAGCUGGGGUAUAUUACUUAGCUCUCGUGUUUUAACUUACAUUGCAAUACUCUUUCCGGUCACGUAUCUUCUAGGCUAAUUUUUUUCCUAUUGAAUACUUGUUGUCCAAUAAUCGAUUCAUGAAGAACCUUACAUUUGAAGAUCUAUAUUCAUUCCAAAGACAACAUUCAAAAGGAUAGUUUAGCAUCUGUUUCCAUAAACAUGGAACAUUUUCCAGAGUUACGUUUAUAGAUAUGAACACAUAAUAACAACAACUACUAUUACGCCUCAAUCCCAAGCAAGUUGAGGUCAGCUAUAUGAACUCUCAUUGUCCAUGUUGUUAAGGUCGUCCAUCCUAUUCUAAAAAAAUUAGUCUCUCUAGCACUAGAAGUUCUUUACAAAAUAUUUUCAUAGAGUAUGAAAGAAGUCUACGAACAUUUUGAUGUUCACAAUUUUGCUUUCGAUUAUUAAUUUUCAGGUAAAAUCCGAUCUAAGUGCAAGGAAAACAGUCGUGGACAUUUGCGAUACUAUUGCAAAACGAGGGGGUCGUCUGGCUGGUGCAGGAAUUGUUGGGAUUCUACAGAAAAUGGAGGAGGAUUCUAAAGGCCUCAUCUUUGGUAAAAGAGCAGUUGUAGCAAUGGAUGGAGGCUUAUACGAGCACUAUCCUCAGUACAGAGGAUACCUCCAAGAAGCUGUCACAGAGUUACUAGGCUCGGAAAUUUCGAAAAAUGUAGUGAUAGAACAUUCAAAAGAUGGUUCUGGAAUUGGAGCUGCAUUAUUAGCUGCUGCAAACUCAAAGUAUGAACAUGAUUAUUAAGGAGAAUGCUAAAUUUCAUGUCUUCAAAGGUUUGCUUGAGGAAAAAUUACAUGAGCAUUUGUAAUUUUCUUGUAAUUUAGAAUGUUCUAAGAAGGAUUGAUCAUUGGACUUCUCAUUCUUUAAGUAGAGGCUCUUGUUUGUGAUGCCAUUUUUGUACUCCCAUUAGUGAUGUACGAAGAAGUGAGGAUUCAUAUAGCCAACCCCAAUUUGUUUGGGACCGAGGCAUAGUUGUUGUUGUAUUAUGCAGCAGUGACUUAUUUAUGUGAUAAAAGCAGAUGUAUCAGUAAAUAUAGAACAUCUUGUUUGUUUAUAAUUAUGAAAUAAGCACAUUUCUUUGGUGUUUUAGAAUUUUCUCAGUUUUGUUUCUUAUAUUGGUUAUUUUUAACCAAAAUUUGAUAAAUGACAAGAUCUUGAAAGUUAUAAAUUUUUAUGACAUUCACAGAUCAAAAGUUUAGACAUGAUUCACAGCCAUAUAUGGACUGCAUAGUGCAUCUAUGAGACAAACUCAGAAUGCAAUGGAUGACUUUAAUUCAGUAUUGAAUGAAGAACAUAAACAAACUGGCUCACCUGUACUAGUGCAGAUUGAAUGAAUUUGAUGUCCACUUCUCAGGUGCUAAUUGUGGAACCACAGUUCUCGAGUUGAUUUCGUAGAUGGUGACUCAACUAAUAGUUAUUAUCUCAGAUGACUUUCUGUAGCUACAAUCAACUGUUGGGUAGGACUUAAGUACAGAAAUUACAGUCACACAGAUAAAGAGAUAAGUGAAAGAGUCAAUUACUUGAAGGACAAUAGAAAAGUUAUUAGAUGUAGAUACUUGGUCCAGAAAUUUUGUAACUAGA
This 5504-nucleotide long non-coding RNA is filed under the name Solanum tuberosum (potato). Its description in RNAcentral is "long non-coding RNA (STUB_LNC005274)". Lineage: Eukaryota; Viridiplantae; Streptophyta; Magnoliopsida; Solanales; Solanaceae. The record is from RNAcentral.